CGCUUUGCGCGACAGCGCAAAGGCAGGCGGUUUCGCGUAGCGAAAGCGAAUGCUUUGGGGUGGGGUGACUGCGUACCUUUUGUAUAAUGGGUCAGCGACUUAUAUUCUGUAGCAAGGUUAACCGAAUAGGGGAGCCGGAGGGAAACCGAGUCUUAAUUGGGCGUUAAGUUGCAGGGUAUAGACCCGAAACCCGGUGAUCUAGCCAUGGGCAGGUUGAAGGUUGGGUAACACUAACUGGAGGACCGAACCGACUAAUGUUGAAAAAUUAGCGGAUGACCUGUGGCUGGGGGUGAAAGGCCAAUCAAACCGGGAGAUAGCUGGUUCUCCCCGAAAGCUAUUUAGGUAGCGCCUCGUGAAUUCAUCUCCGGGGGUAGAGCACUGUUUCGGCUAGGGGGCCAUCCCGGCUUACCAACCCGAUGCAAACUGCGAAUACCGGAGAAUGUUAUCACGGGAGACACACGGCGGGUGCUAACGUCCGUCGUGAAGAGGGAAACAACCCAGACCGCCAGCUAAGGUCCCAAAGUCAUGGUUAAGUGGGAAACGAUGUGGGAAGGCCCAGACAGCCAGGAUGUUGGCUUAGAAGCAGCCAUCAUUUAAAGAAAGCGUAAUAGCUCACUGGUCGAGUCGGCCUGCGCGGAAGAUGUAACGGGGCUAAACCAUGCACCGAAGCUGCGGCAGCGACACUGUGUGUUGUUGGGUAGGGGAGCGUUCUGUAAGCCUGUGAAGGUGUGUCGUGAGGCAUGCUGGAGGUAUCAGAAGUGCGAAUGCUGACAUAAGUAACGAUAAAGCGGGUGAAAAGCCCGCUCGCCGGAAGACCAAGGGUUCCUGUCCAACGUUAAUCGGGGCAGGGUGAGUCGACCCCUAAGGCGAGGCCGAAAGGCGUAGUCGAUGGGAAACGGGUUAAUAUUCCCGUACUUGGUGUUACUGCGAAGGGGGGACGGAGAAGGCUAUGUUGGCCGGGCGACGGUUGUCCCGGUUUAAGCGUGUAGGUGUGUGUUCCAGGUAAAUCCGGUUCACUUUAACACUGAGGCGUGACGACGAGGCACUACGGUGCUGAAGCAACAAAUGCCCUGCUUCCAGGAAAAGCCUCUAAGCAUCAGGUAACAUCAAAUCGUACCCCAAACCGACACAGGUGGUCAGGUAGAGAAUACCAAGGCGCUUGAGAGAACUCGGGUGAAGGAACUAGGCAAAAUGGUGCCGUAACUUCGGGAGAAGGCACGCUGACACGUAGGUGAAGUGAUUUACUCAUGGAGCUGAAGUCAGUCGAAGAUACCAGCUGGCUGCAACUGUUUAUUAAAAACACAGCACUGUGCAAACACGAAAGUGGACGUAUACGGUGUGACGCCUGCCCGGUGCCGGAAGGUUAAUUGAUGGGGUCAGCGCAAGCGAAGCUCCUGAUCGAAGCCCCGGUAAACGGCGGCCGUAACUAUAACGGUCCUAAGGUAGCGAAAUUCCUUGUCGGGUAAGUUCCGACCUGCACGAAUGGCGUAAUGAUGGCCAGGCUGUCUCCACCCGAGACUCAGUGAAAUUGAACUCGCUGUGAAGAUGCAGUGUACCCGCGGCAAGACGGAAAGACCCCGUGAACCUUUACUAUAGCUUGACACUGAACAUUGAGCCUUGAUGUGUAGGAUAGGUGGGAGGCUUUGAAGUGUGGACGCCAGUCUGCAUGGAGCCGACCUUGAAAUACCACCCUUUAAUGUUUGAUGUUCUAACGUGGACCCGUUACCCGGGUUGCGGACAGUGUCUGGUGGGUAGUUUGACUGGGGCGGUCUCCUCC
Molecule: ribosomal RNA, 1777 nt
Filed under: Salmonella enterica
Lineage: Bacteria; Pseudomonadati; Pseudomonadota; Gammaproteobacteria; Enterobacterales; Enterobacteriaceae
Also listed under: 1 other name
Description: partial 23S ribosomal RNA
Rfam family: Bacterial large subunit ribosomal RNA
Source: RNAcentral